RNAcentral lists this long non-coding RNA (5479 nucleotides) under Hordeum vulgare. RNAcentral's name for it is "long non-coding RNA (HVUL_LNC013680)". Lineage: Eukaryota; Viridiplantae; Streptophyta; Magnoliopsida; Poales; Poaceae. The record is from RNAcentral.
CAUACCAUAAAAUAAUGUUUCAUCUUGUGUCAAUUAGUUUUGGAUUGAAACUUAUGAAGUGAUGGUAAAAUUAAUCUGAUGCAAUGCCUGGAUUAAUCUGUAGGUGAUAGGAGGAGGCAGGAUGGCGAUAAAGGCUGAUUUGAUCUCUGCAGUUAAAAUACGUACUCCCUCUCUAGAUAAAUACUUGUAGUUGAGGAAAACUAGUCUAGUUUUUUUCAACUACAAGUAUUUAGAUACAGAAGGAGUAGCAUGCAUGCAUGCACCGUGUGGUAUGGCAACACACUCUGAUUUGAUCUUUGACAGGAACAUUGCUAUAUCUUGGCCUUACACUUGCUGUUAGCGCUGCAUGCUGGGAGCUCUGUCCCCCCUUGCCAACUUGUCGCCCAUCUAGAGUAGAGUAGAGGAUGGGGGCUAAUCUCAGAUUACUUAGGGCACAGGCACAACCAAGAUUUGCAAAUUGAUAUAGUGCGAAAUCGUGAUCAAGUAAAGUCCACUCCUGCAAAAAUAAUUAGAAUUCUGCACAGGACGUCGAUUUCAUUAUGUUCAGACAAAUAUAAAUUCCUUUUCCUCACAUUUUUUCUUUUUGAAAAUAAAUCAUGUAAAGACAAUAGUUCAGCUACCAAACAUGUAAAGGCAAUAGUUCUGCUACCAAACAUGAGCUACUUGUAACCUUACAGCCAGGUGUUUUGACCACUGAAGAGACUCUGUCAGUUAAUAACGAUCAUGAGCUACUUGUAAUCUUAGUACUCCCUCCGUUGAAGGGAUUUUAUCUUCUUGUUGCAUGAGCAACCCUCGCACUAAAAAUCUCCAUCUCAAGGUACAUUUCGUUAAUAUAAGAUUAAUCGAGCACCCAAAAUGAUUAGUAUGUACUCCCUUCGUUCCUAAAUAUAAGACUUUUUAAAGAUUUCACUAUGGACUACAUACGGAGCAAAAUGAAUGAAUCUACAAUCUAAAAUAUGUCUAUAUACAUCCGUAUGUAGUUCAUAGUGAAAUCUCUAAAAGACCUUGUAUUUAGGAACGAAGGGAGUAUGUGGUUGUGCAAUCACAAACAUAAAUGGACCCAAUUUACACAUGGUCACCAUAUUAGUUAGUCAUAUGCUCCUUAUCCUAUAUACUCCCUCCGUCACAGUUUAGAAGGCAUGCACGUGUAUCUAGGUUAUCAAUUUGAAUUAUAUAAAAUAUACUAUUUAACAUAAAAAUCAUAUCAUUAGAAAAUAGAACAUCUAAAGUUUCUAAUGAUAUAUUUUUUGUAAUAUAUGCCUCUCAUUAAGUUGGUCAAAUUGACGACCUAGGUACAUGUGUCGGACUUGUAAACUGAGACGGAGAGAGUAUUUGCCACUGAAACAUAUCAGUGUGGAAGCACACUGUGAUGUCCAAGCACACCCAAAGACUACACUGCUUGUUCUGUCCAACAAAUGACAAACUCAUGGCCCCACACAAAUCUUAGCAUUGCAUGUUCUGUGCUCAUUGCCAUGUCCCUUGCCAACCUGUCAGGAUAGCUGCUGUACCUAUCCUUGCCAAUCUUUGACUUGUUCUCUUUUCUUUCUCCCUCGCCCCUAUAAAUCCAUCAGAUUAGCACCACCACCACCACGACAUCAGUUCAUUCACAAGCCAAAGCGGCAUUACCACACCUAGCCAAGAAAGAAACACAAGGAGGAGGAAACACAGCCAUGGUCAGUGCCAAGAGACUUGCUCAGAUGGCAAAGAAGUGGCCAAGGAUGGCGGUCAUGGUCAUGGGGAGGAAGAGGCUCACCCGGACCACGACAGCAGCGGCGAAAGGAUCCAUCAUAGAGAAUGAGUGCUGCACAACGUUGUCGCCGUCGGCGGCGAAAGGAUCCAUCAUAGAGAAUGAGUGCUGCACAACGUUGUCGCCGUCGGCGGCGAAAGGAUCCAUCAUAGAGAAUGAGUGCUGCACAACGUUGUCGCCGUCGGUGUCAAUGAAGGUCCACUGUGUGGUGUACACUGCCGACAGUGCGCGGUUUGAGGUUGCCGUAGUGCACUAGUGCUAGCUGUAGCCCUGUUUUCCUUUUUAAAGAGAGCAAAUAGCUGUUCCUAGCUACUGAAGAUUCAGUCAUGUAGUGAUUGUUUACCGUUCUACCCCUUUCGGUGAGCUGAUGUGGAAGGAGAACAUAUUACCCCUUUCGGUAAUCAGUUCACAUUUGAUUUGAAAUUUCCAAAGUUUUCAAACGUUUGGAAAAUUCAGAUUGCCAAGCAAGUCGGGAGCCGAAGACUGAAAAGAAAAAAUGGUACCUCACUGUUCAAUAGCAACCAGAAAGGGACCAAAUUUACACUUGUUCCUCAUCAAUCAUAUGCCUCCAAUCUUAUUCUUAGCCACUAAAACAGGUUAGUACGGCAGCAAUCUGUGACGUCCAAGCACACCAAAGACUAGACUGCUGCUAGUAACGGCUGAUAUCCAGCCAAGUAGCAAACAAAUCGUUAUUUCUCUUAUAAAAGAGAAAUAUCUUUCAUGCAAUAGUUCAGGUCAAUUGUUCUUGUUUUUUUUCCUGUAGCGAGUAGUAAAUAAUUUGAACCUGCUCUUAUUUUCCCUGCAGUCGUUGAGGUUGGCUGUUCUUACUGUUUUCUGUAGUGGUUGUUCUUUCUUUUUUCUGUAGUGGUUAAUAUUCUGUUUGUACAAUAGUAGAUCGUCAAAGCCAGUAGUAAUUAAUUGAGACUGCUCUUGUCUUCCCUGCAGUAGUUCGGUCUGACUGUUCUUAAUGCUUUCUAUAGUGGUGCAUUUGCUUAUGUACUUAGUAAGAAAUAGUAACUGUUUUCUCUGUUUGUGGGUUGCAGGUUCCGAGCAUUCAGGUUGCGUGAUCUGAGGUGUGAUCAUUGAGGUGGGGCAGCAAAGAUAAUCAACAGUCUGUAUGCUAAUGGGAGAACGUCCCUUUAUUAAUUUUGGGUUCUGGGUUAUGUUUAGUGAAUUUUAAAAAUAGUGGGCCUGGUAAAUUGGCACAACUUGCCCUAUGAGUCAAUACAGACCCGUGUUCUGUGUUGAAUGCAUCUUUUGUGAGAAAAAAAGAAUUGAGGGAUAAUUAAUCUUAUUUAGCUGAAUUCUCAGCUUGUUUAUAACUUCUUCAUUCACUAUUUCAAGACUGAAACCAAGAUUACAUCUGCAGAAUUUGUUUCGAGUCCUCCUGGAUGGCUGGUGUUGUAAAAACUUAGUGGUAGUUUGCAACACACAGCAGCAGUGCCUCACGGUGCAGCAGCUUGAAGAGGCGGCCAAUGGCGCACCCGUGAGGCAACAAUAAACAUGUCUGAUGCCAACACCCAAGGUCAGCUUCGCACAAUCCCUCUCUCUGUAUAACUGCAAGCUUGUGUGAUGUGCUCUGCUUCCUCCUCCCUUUUUUAAUUAAUGGAUCUCUUACUGGGCAAAGCAUGUUCUUUAGGUUGGCAGCACAAAUUAUAUAGCUAAAUUACCUUCAUCAUAAUUAAAUAAUUGUUGCCACUACCAAUGAUCCAUUCGACGACCCUGAUUAUCUUCUGUGAGCUUACUUUGUUAAGCUCCUCUUAUGGCAGGUGGGAGGACCAUUCAACUGACCAAGUACUGUAUGAUGGUAAUAUAAAAUCUGAGAUUAAGUCAUUCAUUCGGCCUGCUGGUUGGGGAGGUACGGUCUUUCUUGCUCCUCUUCUGUUCGAUAAAAAUGCUUGUGAGCUGAAAGACUCUUGUUUGCUUGUUUCCCUUCCUCUCCAGGUUACUCGACAUAUGCCUCGUUGGUCAGCAAGGUUAGAUGUGUUAUAAUUGUUGUGCUUGAUUACUUCUUGCUGCAUCUUCCAUUAGCUUGUGAAAAAUUUGUCCUUGUUUGAUUAUGUUUGCGCUGGUGAUAAUCUUCUGUUUGCUGCUUGGGAAAACACGUGUGCCCCCUGUUUUCCGUGCACUGCAACAUGUUGUGUGUGCAAGAAGUACCAGUUGCAGCUCAUUAUGAAUAUAGUGCCUGCAGCCGUGCUUCAUAAGCGGAUUAGGUGGUGGUUACUACCUACUUACAGAGGACGGUUUGGUGGGUAGAGCUUUAGGAAGGCCUACUGGAACUAAUUAUUUCUUACCUCUUACCCCUUGUUUAGAUGGAAGUUGUUAUUUGAAUUUGUUGUGAGUGGUUAAACUGAGCUGACUCUGAAUGUGCUUUAUGCAAUUAAACUGAUCAGAGCGGUUUAUUUUUGCGUGUCAACUCCAUAUCAAUUGACAGACGAUCACCGAGUCAUGUGAAGCUCUAUAUGUGCAUCAUCUUUUAGUUCUAAGCAACUAUACUGAAUAGGCUUAUAGAGUAUAUGUCUGUUCCUUAAAAAGGGGAUAUGGAGUAGUACGCGGAAGGGGAUCCAGGAGCGGAUCCAGGAGCAAUAUACAUGUAUGUAUAAGCUUAGUACUACUCCAAACCGACGUAGAAUGUUUUUGCUAUGGAUUUUACAAGUUCUGUAGGUUGAGCAUUUUCUGUGAUUUUCCUGAUAAAUCAAUUGUUAGAAUGAAAUCGUUUAUACAUAGGAAAGUCUAGCCUUAGUCUGACAGUAUGACAAGCAAGUAAGUUAAACGAAUAUGGCCAUGUUUCUUCGUAGCAAAUUAAUCUCUCUUUCUCUCAUCUACAGACAGGUCAUGCAUGGCUAACAUCAUAAAGCAUCAACAGCCAGCAACAAGCAGCGACAUGAACAAAGCAGCCAGUGGCAACAAACAACAAUUAACAUCAGCAGCACGCAGCCAGCAACAUGCAGAGGCGAUUUCUCACCCUGUCGGAAGUGGCGAGGUCGGACAGAGCAGAGCAAUGAGCUCGGGACUGCGACUAUGCCGGUCAACGUCAAGGAAGAAGAAGGAGGGACCAGCGGCUUCGAAUCUGCGGUCCAGAGGAGAUGCAGACAAUGCGGAGUUUGUUCGGUGAGGAGGAUGAUUGCGGCGUCACAGGGGCGGCCUCGGCCCAAGAGGUUCCUGCACGCCAGUGCCCGGAAUCACCAUUUAAGGAACGACAAGAGCAGCAAUGGAGCUAGGGGAACUACCUCGGAGUAAGAACGCACCGGAAAAACAAGGUGGUUCAUGGCACGGCGUCCAGCAGGUGUGAAUGUCAGAGCCAGAGGCAUGGACUUCGAUCUGGACUGAGGGCCAGCGUAUCCCGCUAAUUCCUGAAGCUGGUGUUGCAAUGGCGACCGGCGCCGAGCUAAACGACAAAGGGGAUCCAGGAGAAGAGGAAAUGAAGUGAGGAGGGAAGUAGCAGAAAAUGAGAAGUGGCGGGGGUUUGCGGGCGCGUGGCCCUGCGAGAUGGUGACAUGGAUGUGGUUGUUCAGGGCAUCUUCAACAGGUUGUUGGUUAGUUUGUUGAUAAAAUAUGUCAUGUCAUCAGCCAACACCUUAACAUACAACUACUCCAAUGAAUUAUAUCUAGUUUGACCAAUAAGAUACGAGGUAAUAAAUAAGGUGUUCUCUUAUUCUACAUUGGAGCUUGUGCAAGGGUGUUGGUUAGUUUACAUACAACCUUGUUCUUUUUCCUUAUUUAUUGUAUGAC